Molecule: ribosomal RNA, 867 nt
Filed under: Botryosphaeria sp.
Lineage: Eukaryota; Fungi; Ascomycota; Dothideomycetes; Botryosphaeriales; Botryosphaeriaceae
Description: partial 28S ribosomal RNA
Rfam family: Eukaryotic large subunit ribosomal RNA
Source: RNAcentral
CCUUAGUAACGGCGAGUGAAGCGGCAACAGCUCAAAUUUGAAAGCUGGCUCCUUUGGAGUCCGCGUUGUAAUUUGUAGAGGAUGAUUCGGCAAGGGCUCCCGCCUAAGUCUCCUGGAACGGAGCGUCAUAGAGGGUGAGAAUCCCGUAUGCGGUGGGCUGCCUAAGCCAUGUGAAUCUCCUUCGACGAGUCGAGUUGUUUGGGAAUGCAGCUCUAAAUGGGAGGUAAAUUUCUUCUAAAGCUAAAUACCGGCCAGAGACCGAUAGCGCACAAGUAGAGUGAUCGAAAGAUGAAAAGCACUUUGGAAAGAGAGUUAAAAAGUACGUGAAAUUGUUGAAAGGGAAGCGCUUGCAGCCAGACUUGUCCGCAGUUGCUCAGCCGGUCUCCUGACCGGUGUACUCUUCUGCGGCCAGGCCAGCAUCAGUUCGGGCGGUCGGAUAAAGACCUCGGGAAUGUAGCUCCUCUCGGGGAGUGUUAUAGCCCGGGGUGGAAUGCGGCCAGCCUGGACUGAGGAUCUCGCUUCGGCUAGGAUGCUGGCGUAAUGGCUGUAAGCGGCCCGUCUUGAAACACGGACCAAGGAGUCUAACAUCUAUGCGAGUGUUUGGGUGUCAAACCCAUGCGCGUAAUGAAAGUGAACGGAGGUGGGAACCCUCACGGGUGCACCAUCGACCGAUCCUGAUGUCUUCGGAUGGAUUUGAGUAAGAGCAUAGCUGUUGGGACCCGAAAGAUGGUGAACUAUGCCUGAAUAGGGUGAAGCCAGAGGAAACUCUGGUGGAGGCUCGCAGCGGUUCUGACGUGCAAAUCGAUCGUCAAAUUUGGGUAUAGGGGCGAAAGACUAAUCGAACCAUCUAGUAGCUGGUUCCUGCCG